UACGGGGGGGGCAAGCGUUGUUCGGAAUUAUUGGGCGUAAAGCGCGCGCAGGCGGCUUAUUAAGUCUGAUGUGAAAGCCCACGGCUCAACCGUGGAGGGCCAUUGGAAACUGGUAGGCUUGAGUGCAGGAGAGGAGAGCGGAAUUCCAGGUGUAGCGGUGAAAUGCGUAGAUAUCUGGAGGAACACCGGUGGCGAAGGCGGCAUCCUGGACCGGUAUUGACGCUGAGGCGCGAAAGCUAGGGGAGCAAACGGG
This 253-nucleotide ribosomal RNA is filed under the name uncultured bacterium. RNAcentral describes it as "partial 16S ribosomal RNA". It matches the Rfam family "Bacterial small subunit ribosomal RNA", at positions 524 to 776 of the family's 1533-position model. The record is from RNAcentral.